GAAAUUUCCAACAUCAACCCAAAAAUUACUAGGAAAUCAAAUUGAAUUUAGAGCUUACAGUUUUGUACUUCCAGGGAAAAGUUCACAGAAAAUUCUCCAAAAUGUUUGGUACAGCAGGUUUUCCAGCUAAUACGUAAUGCAUCCUUAAGUACCCUGAGACAACUGGCAACAAGUGCGCGCCUCCAUUUGAAUGUGUGAUGUCAGACGGGUGGCUGCCACAGCGCUGUGAAGCGGUAAGAGCGAUUGGGCGCAUCCCAGCACUCCGUUAGUCCU
This 273-nucleotide long non-coding RNA is filed under the name Solanum lycopersicum (tomato). Its description in RNAcentral is "partial TCONS_00027974". The record is from RNAcentral. Lineage: Eukaryota; Viridiplantae; Streptophyta; Magnoliopsida; Solanales; Solanaceae.